GAAAAUUCAGACGAUAUUCAAUCUAGUCAGAAACAAAAAACAAAAAAUCCUCUUUCUAUGGCUGAAGUCGCCAGUCGAGAAACCAAAGACGAAAUCUGCUCUUGCCCUUGCUGUUAAAACUGGAUCAGUUGUGCGCAGGAUGAUCACCGUGGAGUUGCUCACAUAGUUGAGCAUCUUGCUUUCAGUGCAACAAAGAAAUACAAAAAUCAUGAUAUUGUUUAGUUUCUAAAAAGUGUUGCGGCAGAAUUUGGUGCGUGUCAAAAUGCUACAACGUCAGCAGAUGAGACGGUAGAUGAAUUGCUUGUGCCUGUCGACAAGCCUGAACUAUUUUCAGAAGCUGUAUCAGUCCUAGCAGAGUUUAGCUCCGGGGUAUUGAUAAUUCGUGUUCAUUGAUUUCUGAUCUACCAGUCUAAAAUGCAGAUUAUUGUGAACUUCAAUGUUUACCUGUUUCUUAGUCUAUGCAACAUAGGUUCGAGUUUCAGCAGAAGAUUUCCCAUAGUAGACACACAUUAAUUGAAAUGGGUAUGCAUGCUGAACAAAGAAGCAUCUCUCCAUGGGAUGAUGAACACAUCCCGGAAGAGAUUGUCAGCACAAGGACAGAUCCAGGGUUCUGUUCGCUGGAUUCAUUUUCUUAUAUUGUGGCAUAUUCACUGUUGAAGACCUUGAAUGCGUUGGGUUAUGACCUUGUUUCCGGUGGUACUGAGAACUAUCUAUCUAGUCUUGAUCAAUCUGAAAAACAAGGGUAUCAAUGGCUCCAGAGUUGAGAAAGUAAUGGAGUUGGUGCUGCUAACAAGAACUCUGUUGUGUCUGCCAUGGUUCCUGGUGGCAUUCGAAUGGGAACUGCUGUUCUCACAUCAAGGAGAUUCCUUGAGGAAGAUUUUGCUAAAAGCAGAAUUCUUCGAUGCUGCUGUGAAAUUGGCCUUGAAAGCCAAAGCUGAAUGCAAAAAAGGUUCCUAAUUGUACCUUAAUGUCUUCGAUGUGUGCUUCUAUAUGUUGAGAGCUUUCCAAAUUAGAAAUUGUUCACUCUGAAAUAGGAUAUUUGUGGAAACUGUGAAAAUCGAUCAGUACCCCAGGGAACAUGGUUGAUGUUGAAUAUAGUAAAUGCUGUGAUGACUAAAUGAAAGACUGAGGCUCUGCUAAUGUGAGCUUGAUAA
Papaver somniferum (opium poppy) is the source of this 1154-nucleotide RNA transcript. It is a transcript of the gene named serine hydroxymethyltransferase, mitochondrial-like, with no coding region annotated. The transcript is spliced from 5 exons. Lineage: Eukaryota; Viridiplantae; Streptophyta; Magnoliopsida; Ranunculales; Papaveraceae. The record is from RefSeq and is a predicted model, not a curated record.